This 1372-nucleotide ribosomal RNA is filed under the name uncultured bacterium. Its description in RNAcentral is "bacterial SSU rRNA". It matches the Rfam family "Bacterial small subunit ribosomal RNA", at positions 28 to 1381 of the family's 1533-position model. The record is from RNAcentral.
GAUGAACGCUGGCGGCGUGCCUAAUACAUGCAAGUCGAGCGAACGGACGAGAAGCUUGCUUCUCUGAUGUUAGCGGCGGACGGGUGAGUAACACGUGGAUAACCUACCUAUAAGACUGGGAUAACUUCGGGAAACCGGAGCUAAUACCGGAUAAUAUUUUGAACCGCAUGGUUCAAAAGUGAAAGACGGUCUUGCUGUCACUUAUAGAUGGAUCCGCGCUGCAUUAGCUAGUUGGUAAGGUAACGGCUUACCAAGGCAACGAUGCAUAGCCGACCUGAGAGGGUGAUCGGCCACACUGGAACUGAGACACGGUCCAGACUCCUACGGGAGGCAGCAGUAGGGAAUCUUCCGCAAUGGGCGAAAGCCUGACGGAGCAACGCCGCGUGAGUGAUGAAGGUCUUCGGAUCGUAAAACUCUGUUAUUAGGGAAGAACAUAUGUGUAAGUAACUGUGCACAUCUUGACGGUACCUAAUCAGAAAGCCACGGCUAACUACGUGCCAGCAGCCGCGGUAAUACGUAGGUGGCAAGCGUUAUCCGGAAUUAUUGGGCGUAAAGCGCGCGUAGGCGGUUUUUUAAGUCUGAUGUGAAAGCCCACGGCUCAACCGUGGAGGGUCAUUGGAAACUGGGAAACUUGAGUGCAGAAGAGGAAAGUGGAAUUCCAUGUGUAGCGGUGAAAUGCGCAGAGAUAUGGAGGAACACCAGUGGCGAAGGCGACUUUCUGGUCUGUAACUGACGCUGAUGUGCGAAAGCGUGGGGAUCAAACAGGAUUAGAUACCCUGGUAGUCCACGCCGUAAACGAUGAGUGCUAAGUGUUAGGGGGUUUCCGCCCCUUAGUGCUGCAGCUAACGCAUUAAGCACUCCGCCUGGGGAGUACGACCGCAAGGUUGAAACUCAAAGGAAUUGACGGGGACCCGCACAAGCGGUGGAGCAUGUGGUUUAAUUCGAAGCAACGCGAAGAACCUUACCAAAUCUUGACAUCCUUUGACAACUCUAGAGAUAGAGCCUUCCCCUUCGGGGGACAAAGUGACAGGUGGUGCAUGGUUGUCGUCAGCUCGUGUCGUGAGAUGUUGGGUUAAGUCCCGCAACGAGCGCAACCCUUAAGCUUAGUUGCCAUCAUUAAGUUGGGCACUCUAAGUUGACUGCCGGUGACAAACCGGAGGAAGGUGGGGAUGACGUCAAAUCAUCAUGCCCCUUAUGAUUUGGGCUACACACGUGCUACAAUGGACAAUACAAAGGGCAGCGAAACCGCGAGGUCAAGCAAAUCCCAUAAAGUUGUUCUCAGUUCGGAUUGUAGUCUGCAACUCGACUACAUGAAGCUGGAAUCGCUAGUAAUCGUAGAUCAGCAUGCUACGGUGAAUACGUUCCCGGGUCU